Molecule: ribosomal RNA, 844 nt
Filed under: uncultured bacterium
Lineage: Bacteria
Description: bacterial SSU rRNA
Rfam family: Bacterial small subunit ribosomal RNA
Source: RNAcentral
UCUGGNUUAACUGGGGGCUUGCGGUGGGUACGGGCCGGCUUGAGUGCGGUAGGGGAGACCGGAACUCCUGGUGUAGCGGUGGAAUGCGCAGAUAUCAGGAAGAACACCGGUGGCGAAGGCGGGUCUCUGGGCCGUUACUGACGCUGAGGAGCGAAAGCGUGGGGAGCGAACAGGAUUAGAUACCCUGGUAGUCCACGCCGUAAACGUUGGGCACUAGGUGUGGGGGGCCUUUUCCGGGUCUUCCGCGCCGUAGCUAACGCAUUAAGUGCCCCGCCUGGGGAGUACGGCCGCAAGGCUAAAACUCAAAGGAAUUGACGGGGGCCCGCACAAGCGGCGGAGCAUGCGGAUUAAUUCGAUGCAACGCGAAGAACCUUACCAAGGCUUGACAUGUGCCGGUCUGCUCCGGAGACGGGGUUUCCUCCCUUGUGGGGGCUGGUUCACAGGUGGUGCAUGGUUGUCGUCAGCUCGUGUCGUGAGAUGUUGGGUUAAGUCCCGCAACGAGCGCAACCCUUGUCUCGUGUUGCCAGCACGUUGUGGUGGGGACUCGCGGGAGACUGCCGGGGUCAACUCGGAGGAAGGUGGGGAUGACGUCAAAUCAUCAUGCCCCUUAUGUCUUGGGCUUCACGCAUGCUACAAUGGUCGGUACAGAGGGCUGCGAUGCCGUGAGGUGGAGCGAAUCCCUUAAAGCCGGUCUCAGUUCGGAUCGGUAUCUGCAACUCGACACCGUGAAGUUGGAGUCGCUAGUAAUCGCAGAUCAGCAACGCUGCGGUGAAUACGUUCUCGGGCCUUGUACACACCGCCCGUCACGUCAUGAAAGUCGGCAACACCCGAAGCCCGUGGCCCU